RNAcentral lists this ribosomal RNA (650 nucleotides) under uncultured bacterium. RNAcentral describes it as "bacterial SSU rRNA". It matches the Rfam family "Bacterial small subunit ribosomal RNA", at positions 8 to 704 of the family's 1533-position model. The record is from RNAcentral.
AGAGUUUGAUCCUGGCUCAGAAUGAACGCUGGCGGCAUGCCUAACACAUGCAAGUCGAACGAAGGCUUCGGCCUUAGUGGCGCACGGGUGCGUAACGCGUGGGAAUCUGCCCUUGGGUUCGGAAUAACAGUUAGAAAUGACUGCUAAUACCGGAUGAUGUCGUAAGACCAAAGAUUUAUCGCCCAAGGAUGAGCCCGCGUAGGAUUAGCUAGUUGGUGAGGUAAAAGCUCACCAAGGCGACGAUCCUUAGCUGGUCUGAGAGGAUGAUCAGCCACACUGGGACUGAGACACGGCCCAGACUCCUACGGGAGGCAGCAGUGGGGAAUAUUGGACAAUGGGCGAAAGCCUGAUCCAGCAAUGCCGCGUGAGUGAUGAAGGCCUUAGGGUUGUAAAGCUCUUUUACCCGGGAUGAUAAUGACAGUACCGGGAGAAUAAGCCCCGGCUAACUCCGUGCCAGCAGCCGCGGUAAUACGGAGGGGGCUAGCGUUAUUCGGAAUUACUGGGCGUAAAGCGCACGUAGGCGGCUUUGUAAGUUAGAGGUGAAAGCCCAGAGCUCAACUCUGGAAUUGCCUUUAAGACUGCAUCGCUUGAAUCAUGGAGAGGUGAGUGGAAUUCCGAGCGUAGAGGUGAAAUUCGUAGAUAUUCGGAAG